Molecule: ribosomal RNA, 548 nt
Filed under: uncultured bacterium
Lineage: Bacteria
Description: bacterial SSU rRNA
Rfam family: Bacterial small subunit ribosomal RNA
Source: RNAcentral
AGAGUUUGAUCCUGGCUCAGGAUGAACGCUGGCGGCAUGCCUAAUACAUGCAAGUCGAACGAGGAUCCUUCGGGAUCCUAGUGGCGAACGGGUGAGUAACACGUAGGGAACCUGCCCGCGCACCGGGAAUACGCUCUGGAAACGGAGAACAAAUCCCGAUGUACAGGAAGGAGGCAUCUUCUUUCUGUGAAACAUCCUGUAAGGGAUGGGGCGCGGAUGGACCUGCGGUGCAUUAGUUGGUUGGCGAGGGUAAAGGCCCACCAAGACGAUGAUGCAUAGCCGGCCUGAGAGGGCGGACGGCCACAUUGGGACUGAGACACGGCCCAGACUCCUGCGGGAGGCAGCAGUAGGGAAUUUUCGUCAAUGGGCGCAAGCCUGAACGAGCGAUGCCGCGUGAGUGAAGAAGGCCUUCGGGUCGUAAAGCUCUGUUGCGGGGGAAAAAAGCAUCUGCAGGAAAUGGUAAAUGACAGAUGGUGCCCCGCCAGAAAGUCACGGCUAACUACGUGCCAGCAGCCGCGGUAAUACGUAGGUGGCGAGCGUUAUCCAGA